This 253-nucleotide ribosomal RNA is filed under the name uncultured bacterium. Its description in RNAcentral is "partial 16S ribosomal RNA". It matches the Rfam family "Bacterial small subunit ribosomal RNA", at positions 524 to 776 of the family's 1533-position model. The record is from RNAcentral.
UACGGGGGGGGCAAGCGUUGUUCGGAAUUACUGGGCGUAAAGGGCUCGUAGGCGGCCAACUAAGUCGGACGUGAAAUCCCCAGGCUCAACCUGGGAACUGCGUCCGAUACUGGAUGGCUUGAAUCCGGGAGAGGGAUGCAGAAUUCCAGGUGUAGCGGUGAAAUGCGUAGAUAUCUGGAGGAACACCGGUGGCGAAGGCGGCAUUCUGGACCGACAUUGACGCUGAGGAGCGAAAGCCAGGGGAGCAAACGGG